GUCCAUGCCGUAAACGAUGAUUACUAGGUGUUGGAGGAUUGACCCCUUCAGUGCCGCAGUUAACACAAUAAGUAAUCCACCUGGGGAGUACGACCGCAAGGUUGAAACUCAAAGGAAUUGACGGGGGCCCGCACAAGCAGUGGAGUAUGUGGUUUAAUUCGAAGCAACGCGAAGAACCUUACCAGGUCUUGACAUCCGAUGCAUAGUGCAGAGAUGCAUGAAGUCCUUCGGGACAUCGAGACAGGUGGUGCAUGGUU
This 257-nucleotide ribosomal RNA is filed under the name uncultured bacterium. RNAcentral describes it as "partial 16S ribosomal RNA". It matches the Rfam family "Bacterial small subunit ribosomal RNA", at positions 793 to 1050 of the family's 1533-position model. The record is from RNAcentral.